Non-coding RNA from Monodelphis domestica (gray short-tailed opossum), 2328 nucleotides. Lineage: Eukaryota; Metazoa; Chordata; Mammalia; Didelphimorphia; Didelphidae. The record is from RefSeq and is a predicted model, not a curated record.
AUGCAGUGGGAGGAGCUGGACCCGGGGACCUUCUCCACCACCUUCCAUACUUUUUACCAUUAAAGGCAGUAUAUUCCACUUUUGGAGCCAGAGUUUUCCCCAGCCCGGAAAAUGGGUUUGUCACUAACAAAGCCUAUGUGAGAUCUCACGUAGUAGCAAGCAUGGAAGAAAUUGGGCUGCAGGCUUGGGGAAAAAAAUCAGGCCGUGCAUUCAGGCCAAACUAGGCUGAGGGCACAGGCUGAAGCCAGACUGUGACCCUGAAAGAAGACAGUCCACACACUGCAACAAGCUGAGCUACAAGCAUGGAGGAGGCUGAGCAGAAGGAAUGGAGGAAACCCAGCACUGACUUCAGAUCCUACUGGACUACCAACAUGUCAGGGGCCAGACAUCAGGGCUUGGAGAAAUCAAAUUUGGGGCAUGGAAGGAACUCUUGGGGAAUCCUGAGUGAAAUCAGGCCCGAAGAGUAUCUCAAGACUGUGCCAAAGCUUAUUAGCAAUGCUGGGCAUGGAAGAAUUCGAGUUUUAGAAGAAAAGAAAGUCGGCGGUAUGCUGUCAGAUUUCCAGAGGUUCCUUAAUCCAACGCUCCUAGUCCACCUCGAGCCUCCAGACCCAAAAUUGCUUGUCCAGAGGGAGGCUGAGGGGAAGCUAGAUCCAUAAAUGAAAGCCCUAUGCAGGGAGGCUGAAGCCGUAUGUAAACCUUGAUGUCCAAGUGUCAUCACUGUCAACGAAGAGUUAGAAGGUUUGAGCUGGAAGGGUAAAGACAGACAGACGCAGACCCAGAGAUGGAGACAGAGUGAGAGAGACAGACAGAAAGAGAGAGAAAAAGAGAGAGACAGGGAGAGCAACAGACCCAGAGAUGGAGACACAGAGAGACAGGAAGGGAAGGAGGGAGGAAGGGAGAGAGGAAGAGAGAGAGAGAGACAGAGAGAGGGAGAAGGAAGCUAACUAAUGUCCAUAGGACAGUGAAAGACCCUUGCCUAAGGGAACAAAAUGAGUCAGGGGCAGAGCUGGAAACCAGACCCCAGACUCCUGACUCCCAGCCCAGGAUUCCUGCUUAAGCCCAGAAGGAGGACCUCAGAACCUGGGGAGGGGAGAGGUUUGGAGCAACUGUUACCGAGAGCACUUCAUGCAUAGAAAAGCUUUCUAGCACGGGGAGCUCCCCUAGUCUGGGAUAGGCUGGGAAACAUUAGUGUCCCAGAAUAACUUCAGAAAUUCAAGGGUGCCCUAGUCUAAAGAUAGAUAGAUUUACUUUUAUAUGCAUAGCUCAGGCCCCUUCUCUGGUACCCAUUGUUUUCUCCCAGGUGAAAAAAUGAAAACAAAACAAAACUAGAAAAGCCACAUGGCAGAACAGUGGGAGGAACAAAAGAGCAGAAGGGAGCCAAAUAGGCAUUCAGUCAUAAUGGCAGGAGAAGAAGGGGAAGGUCAUUAAGGAGCCAGUAUGACAGACUCCUGAAAAUGGGGACAAGGAAAGCUCCAGGGAGCCUAGCUGGGGGCCUUGCUUCGAGGUCUAAGAUUCUAUGAUAACCAUCAGCACAUAUCAACACCCCUUUCCUCCUCUUCACCAUCACACCAUCACCAUCACCAUCACCACCAUUCUUCAUGACCCAGGACAUGGUAGUAAGCUCUCCCAUGUCUACAGCCCUCAUCCCAUCACCAUCCCAAUGCCACAGAGCCCUGUAAGCUGCAACUGCCAAGGUAGACGGUGCAGAUGAAAUCUCCAGCAUGCUGUGGAGGGAAGAGAAGGAGUUAGAGAAGGUGAAAGAGGAAAAAAAGGGACAGAAGCCCCCCCUGGAGAACACUCCUCUGGCGACUUCUUUCUACCCUCUGAAACAUAUAUGGAGCAAUGAAAGGCUGAGGACAGGGUAGUGUAUAGGACACAGCACUGGACUGAGCUGAAAGUCAUCUCUCCCACAUCAGAACUUCCUCAAGCCUUUCUUUCGGUCCUCUGCUGGCCGUUCUAUGAAUCGCCAGCACUUUAGCACAAUGUCCAGCAAAAAGAAUUUAAUAGAAGUCUGUAGAUAGACUCACUGAACCUUCUUACCCUCUACUGUGGUCCCAGUUACAUCCCAUUUGCACAUGCCUUGAUUGCCCCCCUCAUUAGGUCCCUGAGGACAGCCUUUAUGUCAUUUUUCAUCGUUCUAGCUCUAAAAUCUAUGCCCUGAUAACCCCUAGGACUCUUCCCAUAGGUCUCAUCCCCUGAACUAUCCCUCUAUGGGAAUUGCCUUCUCCUGGGAGAGGUCUGAAUGGGUUGAGCAUGUAGAGUCGAGGGGAAAAAUUAUAAAGUCGAGCAAAGGGAGAUGCUAGUCAACGUGAGGGGAAACAGGGGCCU